This 468-nucleotide ribosomal RNA is filed under the name uncultured bacterium. Its description in RNAcentral is "partial 16S ribosomal RNA". It matches the Rfam family "Bacterial small subunit ribosomal RNA", at positions 28 to 507 of the family's 1533-position model. The record is from RNAcentral.
GACGAACGCUGGCGGCGUGCUUAACACAUGCAAGUCGAACGGCAAGGCCCUGCUUUUGUGGGGUGCUCGAGUGGCGAACGGGUGAGUAACACGUGAGUAACCUGCUCUUGACUUAGGGGUAACUUCUGGACACUGGGGCUAAUACCGGAUCGGAGUCCCUGAUGCGGGGAGGGGGUGGGAAAGUUUCGGCGGUUGGGGAUGGACGCGGGGCUUAUCAGCUUGUUGGUGGGGUAGUGGCUCACAAAGUCUUUGACGGGUAGCCGGCCUGGGAGGGUGACCGGCCCCCUUGCGCCUGCGAUACGGCCCAGACUCCUACUUGAGGCAGCAGUCGGGAAUCUUGCACAAUGGGCGGAAGCCUGAUGAAGCAACGCUGCGUGUGUGAUGACGGCUUUCGGGUUGUAAACCGCUUUCGCCUGUGACGAAGCGUUAGUGACGGUAAUGGGUAAAGAAGCACCGGCUAACUACGUG